CAGCCGCCGCGGUAAAACGGAGGGCGCGAGCGUUACCCGGAUUUACUGGGCGUAAAGGGCGUGUAGGCGGCCUGGGGCGUCCCAUGUGAAAGGCCACGGCUCAACCGUGGAGGAGCGUGGGAUACGCUCAGGCUAGAGGGUGGGAGAGGGUGGUGGAAUUCCCGGAGUAGCGGUGAAAUGCGCAGAUACCGGGAGGAACGCCGAUGGCGAAGGCAGCCACCUGGUCCACUUCUGACGCUGAGGCGCGAAAGCGUGGGGAGCAAACCGGAUUAGAUACCCGUGUAGUCCCUGUCUCUUAUAC
RNAcentral lists this ribosomal RNA (301 nucleotides) under uncultured bacterium. RNAcentral describes it as "partial 16S ribosomal RNA". It matches the Rfam family "Bacterial small subunit ribosomal RNA", at positions 509 to 807 of the family's 1533-position model. The record is from RNAcentral.